Molecule: non-coding RNA, 107 nt
Organism: Gossypium raimondii (Peruvian cotton)
Lineage: Eukaryota; Viridiplantae; Streptophyta; Magnoliopsida; Malvales; Malvaceae
Source: Rfam
AACCCAUGGUGAGGGCACCAUCUCAAUAAAUCCUUGUAUAUCUCUCAUGCAUCAUAUAGAGUCUCUAAAUUGAUCUGUACAAAGGAGGAGAUAUCAAUCAUCAACUU